GGCAGCAGCCGCGGUAAUACCGGCAGCCCGAGUGAUGGCCGAUCUUAUUGGGCCUAAAGCGUCCGUAGCUGGCCGCACAAGUCCAUCGGAAAAUCCACCCGCCCGACGGGUGGGCGUCCGGUGGAAACUGUGUGGCUUGGGACCGGAAGGCGCGACGGGUACGUCCGGGGUAGGAGUGAAAUCCUGUAAUCCUGGACGGACCGCCGAUGGCGAAAGCACGUCGCGAGGACGGAUCCGACAGUGAGGGACGAAAGCCAGGGUCUCGAACAGGAUUAGAAACCCCCGUAGUCC
Molecule: ribosomal RNA, 291 nt
Filed under: uncultured prokaryote
Description: partial 16S ribosomal RNA
Rfam family: Archaeal small subunit ribosomal RNA
Source: RNAcentral